ACUGUACAGUUGCAGCAGUCACCGUGUCCAGAAGUGUGUUAGUAGUGUACUUGUUUGACUGCAAUCUAAUACGCCGUGGUUCAAUAUCCACAGAGCUCUUGGACCAGAAAGCAAGGGUAGAUGAAUCAUAUACUUCACAUCUAGUGAUGGUCUCAAGAGGAUAUAUCCUUAAUGUUCGACUAGAAUUUGGAUCAAGCAUUCGUAUACCAUCUAGGCCAACCUGACAAAGUACAUCCAUGGUACUCUGACCUCCACUUUCAGCCAAGAGCUUCACCCGGAACUUCUGCACCCAAUUUUUGACGUCUUCUUGAGCUUCCACCUUAGGGAUCGCCCUAACUACUUUCAGUGAACUCGCCGGCGACUCUUUCUUCGGAGGAAUACUUAUCGGCCUCCCAUAAUCAUCAAAAGCAGGUGCCGCCGCAGACCAGGUCGAAGACUUCGAAGCUGUACCGCGAGCUCCAUAAGGCUCAACUUUGCCACCUUGGUAAGCAUAGACUCCAUCGCCAUAACCGUCAUCAUAGCCAGAGUCAAAACGCGGUGCCGCAUCCUCCGGCCGCUUACCGUACAACUCCGAACCAAAAUCAGACCGGCUUCGACCGUAACCUCCAUAUCUAUCAUCAGCAUAUCCGCCCCCCUGAUCGAAUUUCACCGAAUUUUCAUAUGGGUUUUCA
This 671-nucleotide unclassified non-coding RNA is filed under the name Hevea brasiliensis (rubber tree). Lineage: Eukaryota; Viridiplantae; Streptophyta; Magnoliopsida; Malpighiales; Euphorbiaceae. The record is from RNAcentral.